Myotis lucifugus (little brown bat) is the source of this 767-nucleotide long non-coding RNA. RefSeq lists it as uncharacterized. The record is from RefSeq and is a predicted model, not a curated record. Lineage: Eukaryota; Metazoa; Chordata; Mammalia; Chiroptera; Vespertilionidae. The transcript has 2 exons.
UCCCAGGGGAUACAGUCCGCGCCAGGGCGGGCUGCGCGGUGGGGCUCCGCCGCCUUCCUGCUGGGCGCCCCGGUGCCAGCGCUGCCUCUGCUCGCGCGCACCGGCCUGCAGGGCCGCCCGCCGCUGGCGCUCCACGUGGCCGGGCUCAGCGCCGCGGGCUGCUGAUGGUGUCUCCGGAGAACGUCUGCGGAAAGCGGCGAUGUUCAAGGCUGGUUCCACCUUCAACCACGUGGUGCAGAACGAACAAUCAGAAACACACUCCGUUCAGGGAGAGUGGUUGGAUUUAGGAGUCAAACAUGAGCUGUGAAGACCCUCGUUUAACUCUGCACUGGACAGGAGCGUGGCUGUGUGAGAUCCUUCCGCGCAGAGCGGCGGCGGCGCUGGGACCGGGAGCGUGGAGGCGGAGCCGCGGCGGGCACACCUGCGGCAUCCGAGGAGCUACCACCUUUCCGUGCCUAGACCUCCCCAUCUGUGGAACGAAGUCAAUACCGCCUACCUCACAGGGAUGCUGUGAAGACUUAGAAGAACGUCAAACGUUUUUAAUGCUUAGAUGAGAGGACAUUGUGGAAUCUAUUCUGUGUGAGAGUUGCGUAAAAAUGGACAUUCGGUUAACUGUACCAGAUGCCGGAAAUGUGUGUGCAAAAGAGCAUUUUGCCAACUCAAAAUAGUAUUAAUUUCUAGAUUAAAAAAAAUAAUCUGUGUUAUUGUAAGCACUAAGUUUGUGGUAACAUGUUACAGCAGCAACAGUAAACUAAUACACUCCCGUG